Molecule: ribosomal RNA, 252 nt
Filed under: uncultured bacterium
Lineage: Bacteria
Description: partial 16S ribosomal RNA
Rfam family: Bacterial small subunit ribosomal RNA
Source: RNAcentral
UACGUAGGGGGCAAGCGUUAUCCGGAAUCAUUGGGCGUAAAGGGUGCGUAGGCGGCCCUGUGGGUCAGAGGUUAAAGGCUACGGCUCAACCGUAGUAAGCCUUUGAAACUGCAGGGCUUGAGUACAGGAGAGGAGAGUGGAAUUCCUAGUGUAGCGGUGAAAUGCGUAGAUAUUAGGAGGAACACCAGUGGCGAAGGCGACUCUCUGGACUGUAACUGACGCUGAGGCACGAAAGCGUGGGGAGCGAACAGG